RNAcentral lists this long non-coding RNA (3343 nucleotides) under Vigna radiata. RNAcentral describes it as "long non-coding RNA (VRAD_LNC007627)". Lineage: Eukaryota; Viridiplantae; Streptophyta; Magnoliopsida; Fabales; Fabaceae. The record is from RNAcentral.
CUCAGUCAAUAACCUUUUAAAAAGUAUAUAAAAACAUAAUUUUGUAAAAUUAAUUUUAAAUACCUAUUCAACCAGUAAUGUUUACUAUACUAAUACAUUUAUUUUUAUUAUUUAAAUUUUGAAUUCCAGAUAUAAAUUACAUAGCAUUCACAUGUUCAUACUCAAUGUGACAUCCCAAUAAUAUACGUCAUGCAUAUACUAAUAAGACGUCAUCACAUACAAUAUUAGAAAGCAGAAUUUAGGAUGACAGUUAAGUACUUAAGAAUUAGGGAUUAAAGUUAUCCAAAUUUAGGAGAAAUUUAAAACUUGAAGAACUAAAGUAUAUAAAAGAAAAACAUAAAAAGAAAGUGUUUCGAAUAACAAGAGAGGCUAUGAAAUCCUAGAGCAUCUAGGCAGCUACAUCUCCAUUCUCCUCCAAGACGUUCUCCACAUUGACUUCAUUCUCCUCUGCUCACAUCCAAGUAGAUGAUCAUUGCAAAAGAAAAGUAUACAACAUGAACACAAGCAAAUGCAAGGGUGAGCUAAUUAUAUAAAAAGCAUACAUCAUAUCAAACAUAUAAUAUACAAGAGUUAAUUUUUUUUUAAUCAAAACAGAUUAAGUCAUAAAUCCUAACAUGUUGAAUACUAGACUUGACUCGUCCGGACUUUAAAAUGAUAGUCGAGCUAUGACGAGUCUUGCACCCGUGGUGACUUAUGAAACUUGGGUUCUCCACCCUGUCACACUCACGAGGUUAGUUCGUUCCACGCCUUGAGGCAUACUGGGAGCCCCCAAGACUAAGGACCUCCUGCUACUUCUCACCACUCUAAGUGAGUUUGAUUGACCAUUGAAGCGUCAGAAUGACUCCCAAGGCUGAGACCCUACUUUCAUUUUAAAACACUAAGAAUCUCACCAAGAGAUUCUACACAGAUGGAACUUGGUUUACCACUUGGUUCGUACUUUCAUCACUUUGUAAUCAUAUACUUUUUUUGUCACAAUCAACAUAUACAUAAUAAUUCCUCAGGUUAAAUCAUGAAAAUCGUUUGUAUCAUCUUUUAACUUAUUCGUACCUACUAACAAAACAACAAGCUACUUUGUUAUUAUAAUUUAAUUUUAUACCAACUAAAAGUUUAAUCACAUGCUAAACUUAAUAAUUCUAAUAUUUACAUAUCAAUAAUAUAAAUAUUAAAUAAAACCAUUCUAAUAUUUAUAUAUAUAAUAUAAUACUAAAUACAACUAAGUUAAGUAACGUUUCUAAUAUUUAAACAAUCCCAUACAAAUAAAAGAAUGAUUUUAACAUAUUAUACAUCAUAUAAUAUAUAAAAAAAUAUAAGAUAUUAUAACCUAUUGCUAAUAAACAAUGAUAAACUUAUGUUCUAGAGACACUUAACCAACAUAAAUAUUUCAUUCAUGUUUCAAGGUGGACCCCACCUAAGUCACCUUCCUCCAAACUAAUUUUCUCACGUAAACCACCAUUUAUUGCAUCAUGUUUAUUUAUUCAUUUAUUAAUUUUAAUUAAUAUUACACCCUCACACCAAGUGGCCCCUACAUUUCAAAAUAUUAAACACCAAAAUCAUACAUUCAGUCCUGCAUCCAUAAAACUAAAAUCUCUUCCAUAAAACCAUUUUAAAUUAUUUCUUUUGUUUCUACUGUUCAUUAACCACAAAUAUAACACUUCUUUUUCAAUUAUUUUAUUAUUAUAAUCUCUUUUUUUUUUUCCUAACUUAGUAUCCCACCACCUCUGAACCAAACUCCACUCAACAAUAACACUUUCUUCUCCUUAUAAAAGCUUACCCCAACACUUUCAUCCAGCAACUACUUAACACCCCUUAAACCCAAUAUUUUCUUCUUCUUCAUAACCUAAAAUAUUACUUCUGAUUGCAAAACCUUCCCAUGCAAAGCAAAAACCCUUUCCAUUCCUUCCCUCCGACGAGAAUAACCAUUCUUCCGAGUGCUAAAAAAAAAUGUCGUGAGGCAUACCACCUGUGCUAACCAACCAUUCUCCUAAUUCCCGAAAACACCAUUGAAUAACUCUCUUCUCUGCCUUUAAUUACUACCCUUAAAUCUUACUUCUUCAUACAGUAAAACAUAUAUAUCUCCUGCAACCCAAGAUUUCACAUCCUAACCACUUUCUCUCUUUUCUCACUACUCAAUACUUAACAUAUACCAUAUUCUAAAUUCUCCCCACUACCGACACAGACGUACAAAACAUGCCCCUGUUUUCUUUCUUCUAAAUCUCAAUCACGUAAACCCUUGAUAUAAAUUCUCCCCCAUUUAAUCAUUCAUUUUAUUUACCUUCUCUACUUUCCCAAUAACCCUUCUUCUUUCAUUUUCUCUACAUCACCAGACAACCACAAACCUGCAAUAUCUCUUCCUUUACGUGAAACACUAACGUUUCUACAUUCCCAUACCAGAACUACAACACCUCUUCAACCUUUCUAAAACCAGCGAACCUAAGUUUCUUCAUCUCUAAACUUUCCAACAUAUAUUGAAUUAUAAUAUUUUAUAUUUAAUCCUAAUCGAAUAAAAGAUUUCUUCCAUCAACGCAUAACCCAUAAUAUAACCAAUGCAUACCUCUCCUAACAGUCCAAAUUACCACAAUCAAGUUCAUCAAAACACACCACAGACAAUUAAUCACAGGUUCAUCAUUUGCACAAUCCAAUUCAUGCUCAACAGGUAUAUAAAACCGUGAGAAAUACAAUUCAAACCGUACAUAGCUUCAAAUCCAAUAUGCAUAUAUUUUAUAAAAUAAAUUUGCACAAAAUAAUUAGCUCCCCUUACCUUUUGGUUCUCACAGCACAGUUCCUAAAAAAACGCCCUAAAAGUAUCUUCGCAUAGAGGUAAUUUCGACAGUACCUAUAAGCCACCAAAUUGGUGUAGAGCACAAUCUUUAGAACUUGAUAGGAUAAGGAAAAAUAAAAAUAACCCUACUUGCAAGUAUAACCUUUGCAUGAGUAAAACCCUAGGGUGCGGAGAAUGGGAAAUUUACCUUAUCAGCGGAGAGACACGAAACUAAUCGGAUGAUUUGGAAGCUCUCGACUUUGGAAACGUGGGGCACCACGUAUUUGAAAAUGAAACGAUGAAAAUUUGAGAAAGAGUAGAGAGAAGGUGGAGCAAGGUUUAGAGAGAAGGCAAAGCUUUUAAAGAACCCACCUUUUAGAGAGAGAGAAUUUUAGCUAAAAUGAACUCUGACUUAGUAAAACCCCCUGCCCCUAAGGCUGCCUUUAAUUUCUAUGGGCCUGUCUGCCUUGUUUUAGAAAUUUCUCUGGCCCUUACAUUCAACUUCAAAUUUGUCAAGAGUAUUUCUAUUUUGAAUUAGUUGGUAUGACCAUAUUUCAAAACCUAACUUCAUGUUUUCCCUUAUGU